Triticum aestivum (bread wheat) is the source of this 1057-nucleotide long non-coding RNA. RefSeq lists it as uncharacterized. Lineage: Eukaryota; Viridiplantae; Streptophyta; Magnoliopsida; Poales; Poaceae. The transcript has 3 exons. The record is from RefSeq and is a predicted model, not a curated record.
UUUUUUAUAUGAAGAAUAGAUAUUGUAAUUGUGCCUCCAUUACGUCUAAAAGUCAGGUAUCGGAAAACUGUCAUUGGCAUAUCUCUGUCAUGAUGGAAGAUUGGUUAGACAGAAAAAGGACCUCUGGUUAUGUAUGACAUGAUGCGAGGCACAUAUCUCUGAAUGAAGCGCAACAAGAAUUGACAUCCUCUAAUGCUAACUGUUGACCAUUCUUCUCUGAAGUAUCAGGUCAGUAUCCCAUGUGCCCCCUAUUCAUCUGUCAUCGCUGCAUAAAAAUUUAAUGCAGUUUUUAAGCCUAUGUUUAAGGAUAGCUAAAUCUCUAUGGACCAACCAUAUUAUCUUUUUGAGAUAAUAAAUCAACCUUCAUCAUGUACUUAUGUUGUAACUUCUCCCAUCUUUUGUGCUAUUAUCUAAAAGAGGUGUGGAUUGGAAUCAGUUUUUUUUGCUGCACCCCCAUUCCGACGAGGUCACGCACACAUACCACCGGGAAUCCCACGGACCCUAUGUUCGAGCGCGAGCGACGGCAAUAGCAUCUGCAAGUACUUGACCAACACGCUACCCGGGUGUGGUAUCCACUAUUGAGGCCAAGCAACCUAGCUCGGUCAUCCUUAAGUGUGCUUGUGUCCACCACCUGAUGAAGAACGGGAGAAGAUUGCUGACUUUGUGCCUAAUGAUGGUUGCCUGAACUUCGUAGAGCAAAUUGACGAGGUGUUGAUUGCUGAAUUUGGUCUUAAGAGGCACGUCGUGGGAGAUAUCCCUUGUGGCAGGUUCAAAGUUGUGAUGGUAUCUGGUGUCUCCCAGCGAGAUUUGUUCCUUCUCUUAACAGUUACUAUUAAGAACAAAUUUAUGUUUCCAGCAAAAAAGUUGGCCGGCCCCAGCAAAAAAAAAGAACAGUUCCAGCAAAAAAAGAUCGUCGCCGUGGUCACAGGUGUCAACAAGCAGUCUUCGGAAUCAUCAAUAAGCCAACAGCGAGAAAUAAGUUUAAGAAUUGAGUUCCCUUAACAGGGAAAUAAGGAAGGGAAGAAACAAAUAGGGAACAAUCAGAUGAAGCAUCAAG